CGUGUCUCGGGUCAUUCCAGGUUGUCGUGCGGUUAUUGUGAUCCACGAAGAAGGGCCAUCCAGUCUGGGGGUCGAUCUUCACCUCCCAGCCGAGGGGCAGCGGCUCGCUGUCAUUACUUGCCAUGCUGGUUGAGGCAGAUGGUCUCCCUCCUUGAGCCUGGUUCUACUGGAGGAUUCUUCCUAUAUAAAGUGAAAACGAAUGCUUAUGCCCUACAUGGAGAACAAGAGGACUUAGCGAUGUAUCUGGUAACAACACAUCACCCGAGCUGCUUUGACCUCACUCUGACUUCUCAUGGAUGUGAAGACAUCACUGGAACUAACUAAACCUGUAAGUAAGACUAGAUAUAGACUUCUAGGAAUAAUUACUUCAAAAUUAAAGCACCUGCCCAAAUGCAUUACAUCCAGUUUUUAAAAAGGAAUAAAGGGGAAAUACAAGAAAAUUACUCCCAUGACUUCCCCAGUACUGUUUAUCAAAAAAGAAGCCAACAACAGCACUUGUUUUGAUUGGAAUUUUUAAAUUAACGAAUAUCCAUCCAUUCUCUAUACACCGCUUAAUCCUCAUUAGGGUCGCGGGGCUGGAGU
Molecule: long non-coding RNA, 582 nt
Organism: Acanthochromis polyacanthus (spiny chromis)
Lineage: Eukaryota; Metazoa; Chordata; Actinopteri; Pomacentridae
Exons: 3
Source: RefSeq, a predicted model, not a curated record